RNAcentral lists this ribosomal RNA (500 nucleotides) under uncultured bacterium. RNAcentral describes it as "partial 16S ribosomal RNA". It matches the Rfam family "Bacterial small subunit ribosomal RNA", at positions 30 to 523 of the family's 1533-position model. The record is from RNAcentral.
AUUGAACGCUGGCGGAAUGCUUUACACAUGCAAGUCGAACGAUGAACCUUAGCUUGCUAAGGGGAUUAGUGGCGAACGGGUGGGUAAUGUAUCGGAACGUAUCCAAUAAUGGGGGAUAACUAGUCGAAAGAUUAGCUAAUACCGCAUACGUCCUACGGGAGAAAGCUAGGGACCUUCGGGCCUGGCGUUAAUGGAGCGGCCGAUAUCUGAUUAGCUAGUUGGUGGGGUAAAGGCUCACCAAGGCGACGAUCAGUAGCUGGUCUGAGAGGACGACCAGCCACACUGGAACUGAGACACGGUCCAGACUCCUACGGGAGGCAGCAGUGGGGAAUUUUGGACAAUGGGCGAAAGCCUGAUCCAGCCAUUCCGCGUGAGUGAAGAAGGCCUUCAGGUUGUAAAGCACUUUCGCAAGAGAAGAAAACUUAAGCUCUAACAUAGCUUGAGGUUGACGGUACCUUGAUAAGAAGCACCGGCUAACUACGUGCCAGCCGCCGCCGUAA